UGGAACAUGCAAAGCCCCUGCAGAGUCCUGGGCUGCCUUUGCUGCAGGGCAGGGGUCCGGGAAGGCUUUGACAGGAAGAGGCAGCUGGAGAAGUGUCAUCACUGGGGAGCCAGGAGGGUGCAGGGCCAGAGUGCAGGGAGCAGGUGAGGAGCGCUUUGGAUAAGGGGUUUCCUGGCCAAGGUGAACUGAGAUCCCGGGGCAUCCCAUGUGUGAUCAGCAGCUCAGCAGAGCCAGGGCCAGAAGGCCAGGGGAAGGAGAAGCUGACAGCCUCCCUGGUCACCUCCGAAGUCCCAGCAACAGCCUGGGAGACUCUCAGGCCAACGCUGGACCCUCAUAAACCUUUAGCCUACCACAGCAUUUCCUGCCCAAUAAAAGGUCUGUUCCUGCACCACCCAGGGUGAGAGACUGCCAGGAGGGCACCAAGAGCUUCAAGAUCUGCUCCUGGUGCCCCACCUCUCCCCCUCAGUGUUGUCACAGGCAGAGGGAGGGACCAGCAGGGACUGGGCCUGAGAGCAGUGACAGAGGCCCAGGCAGGGCAGGUGUGGGCAGAGCUGGUGUGCAGGCACAGAGGAGCUGGAGAGAGGCCACUGAGAGCGGGCCUGGCCAUGUAGAGUGCCCUGUGCGUGGGCUUCUUGCCCAUUGUAGCAGUCACUGGGCAGGUGACCUUGGAGCAGUUCCAAAGGAAGUGACCGUUCAAAAGGGAGAUGAAUUCACCUUCCACUGCAGCAUGAAGGAAGGUGAUAUGAGCAGGUACUACAUGCACUGGUACUGUCAGGACUCACUGGACACUUUGGAAUGGAUUUAAAAGGAGGGUGAUAAAUGUGGAGAAGGUUUCCGAGAUCACUUUAUGGGAAGGAAGGAUAGCUCCAAGAACAGCUUCACAUUACAGAUCCUGGUAGCAGAGCAAGGUGAUGCAGCAACGUAUUACUGUGGAGCAGGCUCACCCUGGAGCAGCUCUGCAGCAGAGUGAACCAAAACCCAGCAGAUGGGGAAGAUAGAUCUCUCUGCACUUCUUUCUGGCAGCUGCUAGCCAGGGCUCCUGUCAGGCAAUGGCAGGUGCAGGAAACGUCCCUCUGGCUGGGUGGCACUAAAAGGCACUGCAGGGAGGGCUGCUGGAAGGGAUGGUGCCAUUGAUGGUGCAGGAGGAUCUGUCCUGGGAACUGCAGAGGCUGCAGUUUGGGGAAAUGCAGGUUUGGUGCACGUUGCCUGGGCUCCUGUCCAGCACAGCCUCAUUUCUCCUCAGUGCCUUGGCUGCAGAGCCAUGGGAUGAUGGGGAUGUGUUACUGGAGCUUUCAGAGGACUGGAACUUAAAGGCAACAAAAUAGAGAAAAAUUCCCUUAGAGAACGUAGUGGAAAAAUCCUAACUUCCACCAACUGUUAAAGUUGAAAACAUGCAUCAUUAUUGUAGGAUUAGGAAAAUGCUCAACACUUGCAGGCUACCAUGAAUUAUAUUAUUAAGAUAACAAUCAAAUUAAAAGCCAACUUCAGUCAACUAUAACAACAGGAAACAGAGUCAAUUAAAGCACCAUCAGGUGAACCAAAAUAAAAAUCAUAAUAAAUAAAUAAAAUAACCAUAAUAAAUCCUGAACAAUCCUUAAA
Haemorhous mexicanus (house finch) is the source of this 1599-nucleotide long non-coding RNA. RefSeq lists it as uncharacterized. The transcript is spliced from 2 exons. The record is from RefSeq and is a predicted model, not a curated record. Lineage: Eukaryota; Metazoa; Chordata; Aves; Passeriformes; Fringillidae.